This 671-nucleotide ribosomal RNA is filed under the name uncultured bacterium. RNAcentral describes it as "bacterial SSU rRNA". It matches the Rfam family "Bacterial small subunit ribosomal RNA", at positions 392 to 1079 of the family's 1533-position model. The record is from RNAcentral.
UGAUGCCGCGUGAGUGAAGAAGGCCUUUGGGUUGUAAGGCUCUUUUGUAGGGGAAGAUAAUGACUGUACCCUAAGAAUAAGGUCCGGCUAACUUCGUGCCAGCAGCCGCGGUAAUACGAAGGGACCUAGCGUAGUUCGGAAUUACUGGGCGUAAAGCGCGCGUAGGCCGUUGAGUUAGUUAAUUGUGAAAUCCCAAAGCUUAACUUUGGAACUGCAAUUAAAACUGCUCGACUAGAGUUUGAUAGAGGAAAGCGGAAUACAUAGUGUAGAGGUGAAAUUCGUAGAUAUUAUGUAGAACACCAGUUGCGAAGGCGGCUUUCUGGGUCAACACUGACGCUGAGGCGCGAAAGUAUGGGUAGCAAAGAGGAUUAGAUACCCUCGUAGUCCAUACCAUAAACGAUGAUUGCUAGAUGUUGGAAAUUUAUUUUCAGUAUCGCAGCUAACGCAUUAAGCAAUCCGCCUGGGGAGUACGACCGCAAGGUUAAAACUCAAAUGAAUUGACGGGGACCCGCACAAGCGGUGGAGCAUGUGGUUUAAUUCGAAGAUACGCGCAGAACCUUACCAACCCUUGACAUGUCUGUCGCGAGUUUAGGAAACUAGACUUUUCGGUUCGGCCGGACAGAACACAGGUGCUGCAUGGCUGUCGUCAGCUCGUGUCGUGAGAUGUUGGG